This 263-nucleotide unclassified non-coding RNA is filed under the name plant metagenome. RNAcentral's name for it is "partial contains small subunit ribosomal RNA, internal transcribed spacer 1, and 5.8S ribosomal RNA". The record is from RNAcentral.
UUUCCGUAGGUGAACCUGCGGAAGGAUCAUUAUUGUAUAGCCGAGGUGCGAGAUCUGUCGCUCACUCGACAGCUCUUGCACGCCCGAGUGACCUCACACGCAUCCCUCUCAACCCUUUGUGAACCACCGGGUGUGUCCCCCUUUGGCUUGUUCGGAGGGGGGCUUACGUUGUCACAUAAACUUUGUAUGCAGUGUAGAAUGUAUUUUUUGUGUUUGCGCUCACGCAAUCAAUACAACUUUCAACAACGGAUCUCUUGGCUCUC